CUAAGCUUAAAUCUAAUUAUUUCAUGGGGUCAAAAGCGUUUGUAGCGGCUCAUGCUGAAAUGGGUGGGACUAAACCUGAAGGAGUAGAGCCUGAUAGAAUUGAGUUUUACAAGCAUACUCAUUACACGAGUGAAGACUCUAGAGGCUGAGACUCGUUAUAACAACAUGAUUGAUUUGAAAGAUAUAUAUACUUCGGGAGAGUCUUCCAUGACUAUUGAUGAAAUUGUGGAUACUGUUCUUGGUACAAAGUCGGGAUAUAUAAAAGGCCUUGGUUAUGGUCCAAAACAUAAUACUACAAGAGCUACACAAAGGAGAACGGCUGAGUUAGAGGACUCUCUCAAAAAGGUGAAACAAGAAGCUGCUAGUGCCCAACAUGACUUACAGAAACGAUUAAAUGCAGCUGAAACUGAGGUAGAAAAUCAACAGUCUCAGAUACUAGACCAGCAAUCUCAGAUUCAAGACCAACAGUCACAAAUAAAAGCAUUAAAUUCUUAGUUGGACACUGUAGUAGCACGCCAAGAAGACAUGUUUAGGAAGAUACAACUCUUUGCUCGCUCAUCGCCAUCAAGCGCUCCAUCAGAAGGUAGACUUAAGGUAUAAAAGGGGAGAAUUGAAUCAAAAUCAAUUGCAAGCUAUGUGUCACCACAUUAUUGCUACUUUGGAAGAAACUUUUAAUUAUUUGUCUAAGUUUAGGAUAAUAUUUAGUAUAUUUCAAUUAGAUUUUCUUGUUAUUGGACAUAUAUUACUUUUAUUUAAGGAGUUUAUAAUGAGAUAUUAUCUCAAUAUAAUUUUCGUUGUUUUUAAUUA
Long non-coding RNA from Solanum tuberosum (potato), 807 nucleotides. RefSeq lists it as uncharacterized. Lineage: Eukaryota; Viridiplantae; Streptophyta; Magnoliopsida; Solanales; Solanaceae. The record is from RefSeq and is a predicted model, not a curated record. The transcript has 5 exons.